CUUAAAUUGAAGAGUUUGAUCAUGGCUCAGAUUGAACGCUGGCGGCAGGCCUAACACAUGCAAGUCGAGCGGAAACGACACUAACAAUCCUUCGGGUGCGUUA
This 103-nucleotide ribosomal RNA is filed under the name Vibrio splendidus. Its description in RNAcentral is "partial 16S ribosomal RNA". The record is from RNAcentral. Lineage: Bacteria; Pseudomonadati; Pseudomonadota; Gammaproteobacteria; Vibrionales; Vibrionaceae.